This 498-nucleotide ribosomal RNA is filed under the name uncultured bacterium. RNAcentral's name for it is "partial 16S ribosomal RNA". It matches the Rfam family "Bacterial small subunit ribosomal RNA", at positions 28 to 508 of the family's 1533-position model. The record is from RNAcentral.
GAUGAACGCUGGCGGCGUGCCUAAUACAUGCAAGUCGAGCGAACGGACGAGAAGCUUGCUUCUCUGAUGUUAGCGGCGGACGGGUGAGUAACACGUGGAUAACCUACCUAUAAGACUGGGAUAACUUCGGGAAACCGGAGCUAAUACCGGAUGAUAUUUUGAACCGCAUGGUUCAAAAGUGAAAGACGGUCUUGCUGUCACUUAUAGAUGGAUCCGCGCUGCAUUAGCUAGUUGGUAAGGUAACGGCUUACCAAGGCAACGAUGCAUAGCCGACCUGAGAGGGUGGUCGGCCACACUGGAACUGGGACACGGUCCCGACUCCUACGGGAGGCAGCAGUAGGGAAUCUUCCGCAAUGGGCGAAAGCCUGACGGAGCAACGCCGCGUGAGUGAUGAAGGUCUUCGGAUCGUAAAACUCUGUUAUUAGGGAAGAACAUAUGUGUAAGUAACUGUGCACAUCUUGACGGUACCUAAUCAGAAAGCCACGGCUAACUACGUGC